RNAcentral lists this ribosomal RNA (253 nucleotides) under uncultured bacterium. RNAcentral describes it as "partial 16S ribosomal RNA". It matches the Rfam family "Bacterial small subunit ribosomal RNA", at positions 524 to 776 of the family's 1533-position model. The record is from RNAcentral.
GACGAACCGUCCUAACGUUGUUCGGAAUCACUGGGCUUAAAGGGCGCGUAGGCGGGCUCUCAAGUCCGGGGUGAAAUCUUUCGGCUCAACCGGAAAAUAGCCUUGGAUACUGGGAGUCUCGAGGGAGGUAGGGGCGGGUGGAACUUCCGGUGGAGCGGUGAAAUGCGUUGAUAUCGGAAGGAACGCCGGUGGCGAAAGCGACCCGCUGGACCUCUUCUGACGCUGAGGCGCGAAAGCCAGGGGAGCAAACGGG